UUCGACAACGUCAUCCAGCGCGACAAGAAGCUCAAGCUGGUGCUCAAGCUCCGCAACAUCCUCGUCUCCAACCCGGACCGCGUCAUGAGCCUCCGCGACCUCGGCCGCUUCCGCCGCGACCUCGGCCUCACCCGCAAGCGCCGCCUCAUCGCGCUCCUCAAGCGGUUCCCGGGUGUCUUCGAGGUCGUCGAGGAGGGCGUCUACUCGCUCAGGUUCCGCCUUACCCCGGCCGCCGAGCGCCUCUACCUCGACGAGCUCCACCUCAAGAAUGAGUCCGAGGGCCUAGCCGUCACCAAGCUCCGCAAGCUCCUCAUGAUGUCGCAGGACAAGCGCAUCCUCAUUGAGAAGAUUGCGCACCUCAAGAACGAUCUUGGACUCCCGCCGGAGUUCCGCGACACUAUCUGCCUCAGGUACCCACAGUACUUCCGCGUCGUCCAGAUGGACCGAGGGCCAGGGCUGGAGCUCACUCAUUGGGACCCUGAAUUGGCGGUGUCGGCAGCGGAGGUUGCCGAGGAGGAGAAUCGAGCGAGGGAAGAACAAGAGAGGAAUCUGAUCAUUGACCGGCCACUCAAGUUUAAUCGGGUGAAGCUACCACAGGGGCUGAAAUUAUCAAGAGGGGAGGCGCGCAGGGUUGCGCAAUUCAAGGAAAUGCCAUACAUUUCGCCGUACUCUGACUUCUCGCAUCUGCGAUCCGGGUCGGCUGAGAAGGAGAAGCAUGCUUGCGGCGUAGUUCAUGAGAUUUUGAGCCUGACACUUGAGAAGCGCACGCUGGUGGAUCAUCUGACACACUUCCGGGAGGAAUUCCGGUUCUCGCAAUCUCUGCGUGGUAUGCUAAUUCGCCACCCAGACAUGUUUUACGUGU
RNAcentral lists this long non-coding RNA (862 nucleotides) under Oryza sativa (Asian cultivated rice). RNAcentral describes it as "long non-coding RNA (OSAT_LNC001049)". Lineage: Eukaryota; Viridiplantae; Streptophyta; Magnoliopsida; Poales; Poaceae. The record is from RNAcentral.